GUGUGUGUGUGUGUGUGUGUGUGUCUGCAUGUUGUCUCCCCCAUGUGAUGGGAAGCCCCUUGAGGGCAGGGACCCGCCUCCUUUGUAGCUCCCGUGCUUUGCAAAGUGCCUGACACAUAGUAGGUGCUUAACAAAUGUUGAUUAUCUGAGCAGAGCUGUUGACACAUAGUGGGUGCUUAACAAAUGUUGAUUAUCUGAGUGGAGCUGUGUGUUGUUUUUUUAAUCCAGCCUUUUAUUUCAUAGAGAGAUUAGGACACGGGCCCAGGGUGAGCUGGGUAGGGAUUAGCAGAGCCAGGAGGAGACAUUGAGGUGUCUUGAGUCCCAAAUCCUGGCUCCUCGGCUAGAUCGCAUGGCUUCGCCACCCCUGGUGAAAUGACAGGUCCCUCUGAGAGGCAGUGGAGUCCGGUGGUCAGGCCGCCUCAGACGCUUCCUAGGAAAAGCUACAGCUAUAUUUAGAGAUACAGAUGAACAUACAUUCAUACACAUACAUUUAGUGUGUAUUUAUGCAUACGUAUAAAUAGAUACAAGGAUAGACAUAGACAGGAAGGAAUAAAGAAAAGGAGAGAGAAAGAAGGAGAAGGAGAAAGGGAAAGGAGGGAGGGAAGGAGAAAAAAGGAAAGAAAUAAAGGAAGAAA
This is a long non-coding RNA of Antechinus flavipes (yellow-footed antechinus), 635 nucleotides long. RefSeq lists it as uncharacterized. The record is from RefSeq and is a predicted model, not a curated record. The transcript has 2 exons. NCBI's taxonomy places the organism in Eukaryota, Metazoa, Chordata, Mammalia, Dasyuromorphia, Dasyuridae.